This is a long non-coding RNA of Rosa rugosa (rugosa rose), 275 nucleotides long. RefSeq lists it as uncharacterized. The transcript has 3 exons. The record is from RefSeq and is a predicted model, not a curated record. Lineage: Eukaryota; Viridiplantae; Streptophyta; Magnoliopsida; Rosales; Rosaceae.
UUUGUUAUCACUAAAAUAAAAUAAAUGUUAUGUUCACUAUAUACGUAGGAACUAAUUGGUUCUGCAGAUUAGGGAGACGAAGGGACCAAGAAAUUGAAGGCAAGAAGGAAGAGCAUAAACUGACAUGAAAGACAACUCAUAGGGGUAGAACUGAAAGCAGAUCGAUAAGGACCUGUUGAUCCAUAUUCAAGAUUGGACAGUAGAUAUAAAAUCAUGCUCAGCUAGCAAAACUGAAAGCAGAUCGAUAAGGACCUAUUGAUCUAUAUUCAAGGUAU